Molecule: ribosomal RNA, 494 nt
Filed under: Triticum aestivum (bread wheat)
Lineage: Eukaryota; Viridiplantae; Streptophyta; Magnoliopsida; Poales; Poaceae
Description: partial small subunit ribosomal RNA
Source: RNAcentral
CUUCCCUUAUCCAUUUUCAUUUCUUCUAGCCAUGUUCGUCUCAUUUCUUCCCCAAAUCUGGCAGGGAUAGGCCACCGCUGCCGCGAUUGCAGCCGGAGGCGAAGGGCGGGAGCGCGGGAUCCGCAUCUCGUCGCCGGCGCAGACCAAAAAUGGUUGUAGAAGGAGAUGCGGCUCCUAGUGAAGGAGAGGUUGAUAACCCACAAGUAUAGGGGAUCGCAACAAUUUUCGAGGGUAGAGUAUUCAACCCAAAUUUAUUGAUUCGACACAAGGGGAGCCAAAGAAUAUUCUCCAGUAUUAGCAGCUGAGUUGUCAAUUCAACCACACCUGGAAACUUAAUAUCUGCAGCAAAGAGUUUAGUAGCAAAGUAGUAUGAUAGUAGUGGUAACGGUAGCAAAAGGUAAAAGUAGAAAAAGUAGUGUUUUGGUAUUUUGUAGUGAUGAUAGCAAUAGCAACGGAAAAGUAAAUAAGCGAAGAACAAUAUAUGGAAAGCUCGU